Long non-coding RNA from Solea senegalensis (Senegalese sole), 723 nucleotides. RefSeq lists it as uncharacterized. The record is from RefSeq and is a predicted model, not a curated record. The transcript has 4 exons. Lineage: Eukaryota; Metazoa; Chordata; Actinopteri; Pleuronectiformes; Soleidae.
CAGCUCUUUGUGGCGUAGAGCGAGUACCUGGGGCGGACGGACGAACAGCUGCAGGUUGAGGUUUCCUUCAGAGACGUGAGCUGACUUUCUAGCUCCGUCACCUGAUCAAAAGAAAAGUUAUCAGGGAAAACACAUCAGCAACACAGUGGAGAAGUUAAGGACUGAUCACGCCUGGAAGAACUCCGUCACCCUCGGACAUCUUCCUCAGUACGUCAGUACAUUUACAGAAAAAAGGUUCCCCUGCAGCUCUAGAAUCUCUUUGCCUUUGUCCCUGUUGGUGCUCAGCAACUCAUCUGUUUUGGUCUUCAGUUCAGCGGUCUUUGGUGGCAGACAGGAUCUGUUCCUGGCUCUCCAGCAGCCUCUUCUCGAUGUCAAAGUACUGCUGCUCUGUAGGUGUAUACAACAUUCAACAGGAAAAGGUGAAGACACAGGACAGACAUGUACUGACAACAGAACUUAUUUGUCUCUUUUUUGGACUCUUUCUUCAAACAAGCCCAGAAUGAAUAUGUCAUCAAAGCUACAGAAAACAAAAUAAGCUAAAUUUAAAGCUGUCGGGGAAAAAACACACAUCAAUGAAACACACGUAAAUGUACACUGAUUUAUAAUAGAGAUAGCCUCCAGCUCGUAGUUUAUGUUAACUAGCAGCUACUACUCACCACUGUCUGCUUUGAACCGCUCGUGUUGCGUCUUUAGCGCCUCGUUAGCAUUCUGCAGCUCCGUCAC